AUUGAACGCUGGCGGCAGGCCUAACACAUGCAAGUCGAGCGGAGCGGCGGACGGGGGAGUAAUGCCUAGGAAUCUGCCUGGUAGUGGGGGAUAACGUCCGGGAACGGGCGCUAAGACCGCCUCCUAUUCGCUGAGCCUAGGUCGGAUGAGCUGGUGGGUGGGGUCAAGGCCGACCAAGGCGAAGAUCCGUAACUGGUCUGAGAGGAUGAUCAGUCAACCGGGAACUGAGCCAGGGUCCAGACGCCUACGGGAGGAGGCGGUGGGGAAUAUUGGACAAUGGGCGAAAGCCUGAUCCAGCCAUGCGGGGUGUGUGAAGAAGGUCUUCGGUUUGUAAAGCACUUUAAGUUGGGAGACGGUACCAACAGAAUAAGCACCGGCUAACUUCGUGCCAGCAGCCGCGGUAAUUC
RNAcentral lists this ribosomal RNA (407 nucleotides) under uncultured bacterium. RNAcentral describes it as "partial 16S ribosomal RNA". It matches the Rfam family "Bacterial small subunit ribosomal RNA", at positions 29 to 526 of the family's 1533-position model. The record is from RNAcentral.